This 62-nucleotide transfer RNA is filed under the name Morphostenophanes yunnanus. RNAcentral describes it as "tRNA-Asp". The record is from RNAcentral. Lineage: Eukaryota; Metazoa; Arthropoda; Insecta; Coleoptera; Tenebrionidae.
AAAGACUUAGUUAAAACAUAACAUCAGCCUGUCAGCCUGGAAUUAGCCACGGCUAGUCUUUG